UUUUUAAUUAUUUUAGCGAUGGCAAAUUCCUUCACGGCCAGGAGCUGGCCCAUCCCCUGAGCAAAGGCAGCUCGGACAUGACCGGCAGGCGAGGGAGGAGGAGGAGGAAUUUGGAUUCCCUUCGGAGGCGCCGACCCCUCCUCCGGCCGGGGGGGAGCGCGGAGCCGGCGGGGCUGGACCGGCCGCUGUCCCCCCGCGGCCCCCGCCCCGCCCCGCACCACGGGCAUGCGGCAUCUCCAGCGCCGGGACGGAUCCCUGCUGCAAUGAGAUCUGAGCCUUGAGGUGAAGACCUCGACCAAAACACCUGCAGAGAGCCUGUGCUUCAGCCCUAAUCACAGUGAUAACAAG
Empidonax traillii (willow flycatcher) is the source of this 348-nucleotide long non-coding RNA. RefSeq lists it as uncharacterized. The record is from RefSeq and is a predicted model, not a curated record. The transcript has 2 exons. Lineage: Eukaryota; Metazoa; Chordata; Aves; Passeriformes; Tyrannidae.